AUGGCCACUACGAGUGCUUGCUCCCUAUGCGGAGGGCAGGAUAGCUGGCGGCAUUCUUUGCUGGAGUGUAAUGUGUCUAGGUGUGUGUGGGCACUUUCAGAAGCCGAGAUGGUCGAGCACAUGUGGGCAACCUCAGAACCUAACGCACGGCUGUGGCUCUUUGCCAUGAAUGACUCUCUUCCACCAGAGCAAUUUCAGUUGAUGAUUGUUACUUUAUGGGCGAUUUGGAGUGCAAGACGGAAAGCUAUACAUGAGGAUAUAUACCAGACUCCGUUUGCCACUGACAACUUCAUCAAAGCUUACUUAUCAGACAUAGAGUUUUUGAAGAAGAAGAAGGAGGAAGCACAUGGGAUAGCAGUACCACGACCCCGUACGUGGAUUCCAUCACCAACAGAUUACUACAAACUCAAUGUGGACGCGGCCGUGUCACGCCCAGGUACGUUUGGCGCAGUUGGUGUGGUUUGCAGGGAUGAGAGAGGUUUGUUCAUGGGAGCGUCAGCUCUCGUUUUCAGAGGACUGCACAACCCCCAAGUGCUAGAAGCACUAGCUGUUCGGGAGGCAUUAGCACUUUCAGAAGAUCUCUAUAUCAACCAUUUACUUGUUGCCUCCGAUUGCAAAGUGGUGGUAGAUGCAAUCAGACAGGAAAGCUCAGCAGAAUUUGGAGCCAUUGUCGAGGAAAUCAACACUAGAGCAACUACCUUUAUUUCAUGUUCGUUUACUCAUGAGUAUAGGACCUCCAAUACGGAGGCCCAUAAUCUCGCAAAGCAUGCGUUAUCUUUAGAAUUUGGCCGACGCACUUGGCUAGGACAACCCGGCGAUCUUCUUUUUGUACCUAUGAACAUUAUGAUUCAGUAA
RNAcentral lists this ribosomal RNA (855 nucleotides) under Triticum aestivum (bread wheat). RNAcentral describes it as "partial small subunit ribosomal RNA". The record is from RNAcentral. Lineage: Eukaryota; Viridiplantae; Streptophyta; Magnoliopsida; Poales; Poaceae.